This 200-nucleotide ribosomal RNA is filed under the name uncultured Staphylococcus sp. RNAcentral describes it as "partial 16S ribosomal RNA". It matches the Rfam family "Bacterial small subunit ribosomal RNA", at positions 159 to 354 of the family's 1533-position model. Lineage: Bacteria; Bacillati; Bacillota; Bacilli; Caryophanales; Staphylococcaceae. The record is from RNAcentral.
UACCGGAAUAAUAUUUUACCGAACCGCAUGGUUCGAUAGUAGAAAGAUGGUUUUGCUAUCACUUAUAGAUGGACCCGCGCCGUAUUAGCUAGUUGGUAAGGUAACGGCUUACCAAGGCGACGAUACGUAGCCGACCUGAGAGGGUGAUCGGCCACACUGGAACUGAGACACGGUCCAGACUCCUACGGGAGGCAGCAGAC